UGCUAUAGGCGUUAAGUCCCCUACAAUGAA
Molecule: non-coding RNA, 30 nt
Filed under: Homo sapiens (human)
Lineage: Eukaryota; Metazoa; Chordata; Mammalia; Primates; Hominidae
Source: RNAcentral